CUACACACCACACAUAUUAAACGUUUAUAAAAUGAGUAUUAUAUCUUAUAGUAUAAUUUAUAGCAACAAACAGAUCCAUAUAUAUUUGAAAAAUAAUUGUUAUUAAAUAUAUGGGACCUUUAUGAAUGUACCCAAAACAAAUAUGCUGUCUCUUUCAUUCUCUUACUAUAUGGCCCGUGGCCGACACAAUAUAAUUAAACCAAUCAUCUCCCUCGUGACAAUAUGAAAAGACAGGAAUAGUUAACCGAGUCUUAUAGUACUAAAUUAUUGGUUACUUUAUUCCUGUUAAAUUAACUAUAGGUUACAUUUAUUUUAAUAAUUAGUCAGAUAAAGUGAUUUUUUAUAGAACUCGAGUGUUAUUACUGUUUACAUAUGACUUACACAAUACGGAGAUGGUUCCAUGAAGUGGCGUAUUCGUGGAAGUCACGAGAAGGGUCAAACCAAAGGUUCACUCUUUGCUCUCUAUCGCCUUUACCAUGAGCAAAUACGUUAGUUUGCACAGUGUAAGGCUGUCCACUUCGGUUUCCCAGGAAUUCAAAAUCUAGUUCAUCUCUUACAGAAUCUGUAUCCGACUUCAUCUGCGCAAUAAUUACAUAUAUCGAUUUAUUUAUAUUAUAACCAAAGGUUUUUAUAUGUAGUAAACUUAAAAUAUUUGUAUAUAUAUUACAUAGAACGCAGCAACUGUUCCUGCGGAAUCACCGGGGAUGAUUUUAAUUUUCAUGCUAACGCGGCCAAACAAAUACUGCUUCUUCGAAGCGAACCCACAUCCUAAACCAAUGUUAACCAAAAUAUUUUUAAAAUGGAUUUGAAGGUAUAUAUUAAUUAGGUUUAUAUAGAAUUGAUUAUGAUGCAUGUAAGAACCUGAGCUAGGGUCCAACUUGAGUUGAAUGGCUCUUCCUCCAUCGAUUUGAGUGAUAUGAGUAUCGGACGUAUUAUAUCUUAUAGUAUAAUUUAUAGCAACAAACAGAUCCAUAUAUAUUUGAAAAAUAAUUGUUAUUAAAUAUAUGGGACCUUUAUGAAUGUACCCAAAACAAAUAUGCUGUCUCUUUCAUUCUCUUACUAUAUGGCCCGUGGCCGACACAAUAUAAUUAAACCAAUCAUCUCCCUCGUGACAAUAUGAAAAGACAGGAAUAGUUAACCGAGUCUUAUAGUACUAAAUUAUUGGUUACUUUAUUCCUGUUAAAUUAACUAUAGGUUACAUUUAUUUUAAUAAUUAGUCAGAUAAAGUGAUUUUUUAUAGAACUCGAGUGUUAUUACUGUUUACAUAUGACUUACACAAUACGGAGAUGGUUCCAUGAAGUGGCGUAUUCGUGGAAGUCACGAGAAGGGUCAAACCAAAGGUUCACUCUUUGCUCUCUAUCGCCUUUACCAUGAGCAAAUACGUUAGUUUGCACAGUGUAAGGCUGUCCACUUCGGUUUCCCAGGAAUUCAAAAUCUAGUUCAUCUCUUACAGAAUCUGUAUCCGACUUCA
RNAcentral lists this long non-coding RNA (1471 nucleotides) under Brassica napus (rape). RNAcentral describes it as "long non-coding RNA (BNAP_LNC021007)". The record is from RNAcentral. Lineage: Eukaryota; Viridiplantae; Streptophyta; Magnoliopsida; Brassicales; Brassicaceae.